CUGAUGUGUGAACUGGAGAUAAAUUAUCCCAGACAUGUCAUGAGUUCUCAGUCAACAAUGGCUAUGACACCACUCAAAGAGAAGAGAGGUCUAUUUUAAAUGGCAGCCUUGAGAUCACAGUUCUUCUGCUAAUUCCUCAACCCCUUUCACCAAUAACUCCCACUCAAUACGCUACAUCCCCAAGUGCACAUAUUUUGGAGAAUCUCAUGCUGAUCAAAAUCUUCUCAAAGUCCUCAGCUCCUCCUACCCCACAGGAAUGCUCCUAUUUGACCAGGUGCUCAAAUCAAUUUGUCUUUGCUGAAACCUCCAGGGGAAAUGUUCUAUACUGGGUCACUUUCUUGAUGCCUGAGAUUUAUUCAAAUGGAUGACACGGAUUCAGUAUUUCUGAAAGUGAGACUUGUGUUUUGGCCAUAGUUGCAGUGGAUUUGAGCUGUUCAUUUUCUCUCGAGUGGUUUCCUUGAGUUCCUUCUGGCUCAAGAAUCACUUUGAAGCUGAUGGAUGAUGUUUUUGCUUACUUAAUAAACUUUGAGCAACUAAUAUGUUUACAGAAUGGCACCAGAAUCUGUG
Molecule: long non-coding RNA, 567 nt
Filed under: Equus caballus (horse)
Lineage: Eukaryota; Metazoa; Chordata; Mammalia; Perissodactyla; Equidae
Description: lncRNA (ENSECAG00000041920.2)
Source: RNAcentral